This 384-nucleotide unclassified non-coding RNA is filed under the name uncultured bacterium. RNAcentral describes it as "contains 16S-23S intergenic spacer region". The record is from RNAcentral.
UCCUAGUUUCCUAGGCAGUCCCACCAGAGUGCUUCCUCACGGAAUAGCAACUGGUAGCAAGGGUUGCGCUCGUUAAAGGACUUAACCCAACAUCUCACGACACGAGCUGACGACAGCCAUGCAGCACCUGUGUACAUGUCCAGGCUUACGCCUGAAAAGCUAUGUUUCUAUAGCGGUCAUGCACAUGUCAAACCCAGGUAAGGUUCCUCGCGUAGUAUCGAAUUAAACCACAUGUUCCACCGCUUGUGCGGACCCCCGUCAAUUUCUUUGAGUUUUAAUCUUGCGACCGUACUCCCCAGGCGGAUCACUUAACGCGUUAGCUACGACACCAAUCUCGCAAAGCGAGACCAACGUCUAGUGAUCAUCGUUUACAGCGUGGACUAC